This 1248-nucleotide long non-coding RNA is filed under the name Taeniopygia guttata (zebra finch). RNAcentral's name for it is "lncRNA (ENSTGUG00000026493.1)". Lineage: Eukaryota; Metazoa; Chordata; Aves; Passeriformes; Estrildidae. The record is from RNAcentral.
CGCGCACCCCCGGCACGGCUCCCCGGCCCCGCCCGGAGCUGAGGGAGGACCCGGCGCUCCCCGCCCGGCGCCACACGGGGGGAGCUUCUCCUCAGCGCGGGCAGGUGGGGCCGCCCCGCCGCCCGCCCGCCUCAGCGCCGCGGGGCCGCGCCUGCCUCAGCCCGCGGCGCUCCCGGCUCGGCCGCUGCCCCUCGCCGGCAGCCGCCAGCAGCAGCAACAGGUCCGUGCCCGCUCCUCCCUCCGCCUGCCGGGCGAACAAAGGGGCUGAGCGCGGCCCCGCGCCCGCCCGGCCCCUCCGCCAGCCCGGCCCUGCGCUUCAGCCAUUUGCCUCGCCUGGCACGGCCGCGCCGCUCGCAGCCGCUCCCCGCUGCCGCUGCCGGGCGAGGCGCGGGGCCGCUGCCCGCGGGAGCUGCCCCGGGCGGCGCGGGGCUCCCGGCCGAGAGCUGAGCGGGGGGACAGCGGGACGGAGCGGGCCGGGGUCGCGGAGCCUCGGGGGAGGGCUGGUGCCCGCAUCUGCCGAUAUUGCCGGAUCAGGACCAAUUGAUUGGCAAUGCUGCACCCUUUCCUUCAUCCUAAAAUGCUCCUUGGAUGCUAACUGGCAGUUUUGGCUUCGGAAGCAUUACAAGACUGGGGGGAUUGCAUAUGAGGAACACUGAUGUGAAGAGAACUUCCUGAAGGUCAUGCAAAGUUAAAUUUGGCUAGGGGGGAAUCGCCUUCCAGAAUAGACUGCAGCCUCAGCCUUCCACUGAAACAGUUGCACAAGGUGAAUACAUUUUGACAGUACUCCUAAGUAUCUGCUGUUAAAGGAGAUUUUUGCUCAUCACCCGGUGCAGUGUAGAGGGGACCAGUUAUCUUGAGAAGGAUUGCAGUGCCUGCAGAUUGCUUAAAAUUUCUGCAGAGAAACGGGAAAACCAGAAUUGCUUUUCAGGCUGUUGAGGUGCUCAUCGGGGCGAUCCCCCGUCCCACCAAAAGAGCUCAGGUUUUCAGGGGCUCAGCUAGCGCAGUUAGCCGCGGGAGGCGGCCGAGCCGCAGGGUGGAUCCCCCAGGGAAAGGAGAAGCUGCGGUUUAGCCCCGGAAGCCAGAGACGGUCCCGCCUGCGAGAGCGGCGGCCCCGAAUCCUAAUCCAGGGGGGCGGGGGGGAAAGAGGCCGCGGGGCAGCGGAGGAGGGCGCAGAUGCUGAGCGCUGUUGGUCCGUCCCGCAGGUGAUGGCCGCGCCGGCAGCGCUCCGCACGGACCAGGCGCGGCGCC